ACAAGAUAGACCCCAGGGGCCUGGCCUAUAGCACAGAGAGUCAGGAAGCACCAGGACACCCAGACACCUUUUUACUGCACUUUUCUCUAAGGUUUGCCUUCUCUUCACUUCCCUGGAAGCCUUCGAAGCCAGGACCCAUGAUGAUGCCCCAUUUUCAUCCUCCUAAGAAGCAUGUGCUGCCUGUCAGGAGAACCAGCCCCUUGGACACCAGCUGUUCUUUUCAUGUUCAGAGGGACAGAAAUCAGCAGAAGAAUCAGAGCAAAACAGCCACCCUCUCCCACUCACUCCUUCUCACCACUGAUAGCAGCGAUGGGCCAGGGACCAAUGCAGAGGGAAAGAGAACACUUCAGUUCAUCCUCAGCUCCCAGCACUCUGCAGGAAGACCAUGCAAUAGAAGAGUCACAGCACGAAGAGAAGUCAGGGUCAC
Molecule: long non-coding RNA, 427 nt
Filed under: Cervus hanglu yarkandensis (Yarkand deer)
Lineage: Eukaryota; Metazoa; Chordata; Mammalia; Artiodactyla; Cervidae
Description: lncRNA (ENSCHYG00000000230.1)
Source: RNAcentral